UACGUAGGGCGCAAGCGUUGUCCGGAAUUAUUGGGCGUAAAGAGCUCGUAGGCGGCUUGUCACGUCGGGUGUGAAAGCCCGGGGCUUAACCCCGGGUCUGCAUUCGAUACGGGCUAGCUAGAGUGUGGUAGGGGAGAUCGGAAUUCCUGGUGUAGCGGUGAAAUGCGCAGAUACCAGGAGGAACACCGGUGGCGAAGGCGGAUCUCUGGGCCAUUACUGACGCUGAGGAGCGAAAGCGUGGGGAGCGAACAGG
RNAcentral lists this ribosomal RNA (253 nucleotides) under uncultured bacterium. RNAcentral's name for it is "partial 16S ribosomal RNA". It matches the Rfam family "Bacterial small subunit ribosomal RNA", at positions 524 to 776 of the family's 1533-position model. The record is from RNAcentral.